RNAcentral lists this small nuclear RNA (107 nucleotides) under Bos taurus (domestic cattle). Lineage: Eukaryota; Metazoa; Chordata; Mammalia; Artiodactyla; Bovidae. RNAcentral also lists the same sequence under 2 other names. The record is from RNAcentral.
GUGCUCGAUUCGGCAGCACAUAUACUAAAACUGGAAUGAUACAGAGAAGAUUAGCAUGGCCCCUGUGCGAGGAUGACACACAGAUUUGUGAAGCAUUCCAUAUUUUU